GUGCAGCAGUCGAGAAAACUCCGCAAUGCACGAAAGUGUGACGGGGCUACCCCGAGUGCCAUCCGCUGAGGAUGGCUUUUCUUUGGUAUAACUCGCCGAGGGAAUAAGGAGAGGGCAAGACUGGUGUCAGCCGCCGCGGUAAUACCAGCUCUCCGAGUGGUAGGGAUGAUUAUUGGGCUUAAAGCGUCCGUAGCCGGCUUAGCAAGUCUCCUGUUAAAUUCAGCGACCUAAUCGUUGAGCCGCGGGAGAUACUACUAGGCUAGGAGGCGGGAGAGGUCGACGGUACUUCCGGGGUAGGGGUGAAAUCCUAUAAUCCCGGGAGGACCACCAGUGGCGAAGGCUGUCGACUAGAACGCGCUCGACGGUGAGGGACGAAAGCUGGGGGAGCGAACCGGAUUAGAUACCCGCGUAGUCC
RNAcentral lists this ribosomal RNA (415 nucleotides) under uncultured crenarchaeote. RNAcentral's name for it is "bacterial SSU rRNA". It matches the Rfam family "Archaeal small subunit ribosomal RNA", at positions 330 to 747 of the family's 1478-position model. The record is from RNAcentral. Lineage: Archaea; Thermoproteati; Thermoproteota.